AGAAAGAUCAUGGGUGAGCACAUGUGCUUGAAAUUCAGGUUCUCAGGCCCCAUUCCAGUUAUAAGAAAUGAGAAUCUCAGGUGUUCAGAACAGGGAAUCUUCCAUGUAGAAAGUCAUCCAGGUGAGGUAGGUGGAAGGACCAUUGAUCUGGGUGAGAGGAUGAUGCUCAGAGCAGUCACAAGUCUGAAGACGGAGAUAUAUGAGCCACUUGUCUUUUUAUUUGGGGCUUCUCUUCAUUUUUCUUUGAUCAUAGGAUCUCAGAUGGAGAAAUAGGAUUCUUGGAAUUCAAUUCUGACUCCAACUCAUAUCAGCUCUGGGCUGCUGUGACAUUCCAGGAGACUGCCCUUGCCCAAGUUCUUUAGCUGAGCCCGUCAUAGACCAUUCACUCCAAAGUAGUUCCUUUUCCUUUAGUCAUUCUGUUCACGCUACCUGUGUUUAUCACAUGAUUGUUAUGAUCAAGGAACAGUGCUCAAGAAGUAGACUCACCAAAAAGCAGGUAAAGCGUAGCCUUCAGAACCUCUCUCUUGCACAGGGCUCUUCCAAGGCUCUGGGAGGGGUCCUCACCAGGUGCACUCAUGGUUAUACGUCUUUGUAGUAUUUGCAAAAAUUAGAUACUUUUCUUUUUUCUUAACGAAAGUCCCCCCACUUGAUAGGCUUCAGCCACCACCCCAAACGUAGAUCUCCCCCUGCAAAGAGCUUACACCCAGUGGGUGGAUUAUUCAGAUACAAUGUCAUAGGUGCCAUAUGGACCCUCCUCUGGGCAUUCUGGGAAUGUACUUGUGAGGAAGGAGGGUGAUCGGGGAGGACUUCCUGGAGGAGGAGAUGUCUCUUGAGCAGAGUUACAAGAGUAAGAUAUAUCAUGUUGUGUGUGUGAGAGAGAGAGAAGGAGAAAGAGAGAAAGAAGAGAGAGAGAGAGAUUAAAGCCCUUUGCUGUUUGAGCGUGUUUCCUUUAGUUUGGGGGAGCCUCUGCUAAUAGGAUGGUGAAGCGAUUCCUCAUUUACAGGGAGUUAUAGGACUGUGGGCUAUGUCCCCAGAGCACACCUGACCCUCCAGAUCCUGGAGCCCAGCUGACCCUGCACUUGACUUUUAGGAGGUCUCUUGGUUGACUCCAUCAAUAAUUGUUCUUCAAGGAAAAGUAGCCCCUUUACCCCUCACUACUUUUCCCACUUCCCUACCUCCCUUAGUUACUGUCAGCCUUGCAAAUCAAUAUUUCAUUUUGAAGAGCCUUGUUUGAUGCCAGUUCUGCUUAUUUGCUUCGCAGCCACUGUGGGUAACGCUUUGUAGGUCUGUCAGUAUGUAAAUUAAACCAAGCAUAGAUAGCUUUGUGUUGCUUAAUGUUCAGCUGAUAAAAAUUAAUGUGGUGUGAAAUGAGCAUUUUAUCUGACUGCAGAUACAGUGACGGAGUUAAUUAGACAGGCAGAGGGAAAAUGUUAUUAAGCAGGAUGGGGGCUUUCUCCUGGAAUGGGACUGAGCGACCCUCUGAUGGCAGGUUUGGAUGGGCCAAGGGUGUGGCCAAGGCGCCUCGGCAGAGGCAGGCUUGGAGCAGUGAGGUAGGGAGGGGGCCCUCUUUGAGCAAUCAGCCCCACGGUGCUGAUGACUGUGUAGAUCCUGCCCUGGGAGGAGGGGAGGGAGGCACAGGCCAAGCGAGGCCAGCCACUUUCAGCUCACUGCAAAAUGCCUGCGUCAGCGUUUGCUGAGGUGGCGUCUUCUUCAUCACUGCGAUUGGUGGAGAAAGGAGUUUCAUACUUCAGCAAGGAAGAGUGAGAUAAGGGCCAGGCAGUGCCCCACAACAGCAUCAUCCCAAGGAGCAAGGAGCCCCCAAGCUCAGUCUAAGAUGUCUCAAGUUCGGCUCUCCUGGCCUUUGCACAGGCUGUGCCCUCCAGUGGGGAAUCACUUUCCCCCUCCUGGCCAUGAGUGUAGCACAUCCUGUUAUGAUUAUGUGCCUCCUCCACUCAACAGCCAGCUCCUUCUGGUCAGGGGCGUCUUGUCUGUGGAGGUGACCAUGGUGCUGACCGCAGUGCUGAGCAUGUAUGGGCACAGGUGGGGCAGGGAAGGAAAUGUCAGUGCAGUGAAUGAACGCACAGGAGGCUCCCUCUGCCCCAGCUCCCUUCCUGCCUGCACUCCCUGCCCCUCAGUCUCAUACCCUAUGGAGCGUCCUUCCCGCGUCAGCUCAAUAUCACAUCCUCACCAGAGCUUCUUCCGCCUCCUGGACAAGAUCAGCUCCCCAGGUAGACUCUCUUGAGAUACCUUGUAAUUUCCCUUCAUAGGACCUACCAAAUUUAUUGUUAACUGUGUGCUCUCCCACCCCUUCAGAUUGUGAGCUCCAGGAGGGUAGGGAGGGGGCUGUUUUGUCACCACUGUGUCCCCAGCACACAGCAGGGUACCCAGCACAGCUGAAUGUCAGUGAAUGAAUAACUAAACAGAUGGUCUUUCUAAUGCCUGGGAAAUUCCCAAACUUUGCUCAAAACCUUGUUUCAGGAAGGAUUCCUAGGCUCUGCGGGCAGAGUUCCUCCUUUCUCUGGGUUCCCAUAGCACCCUGCAUAUACCAGCAAUAGCACCGUGCAUAUACCCUGCAUAUAGGGGCCAGCUGUAAGUUGUGGUUUAUGUGUCCUUCUAACCAAUUAGGAUAUAGCUCCUUGAGAGCAGUCAUGGUGUCUUACUCAGCUUUGCAUUCUGAGCACUUAGCAAAGGGCUGGGCUUUGUCAGUGCUCCAUACUGGACUGCAGUAGUAGUAAAAACAAUUGUACCUAUCUCUAGGUUAGAUAAGCAUUAUUUCUGUCAAGAGAAUGGGCUCUCAGCCACUAACGUAGCUCUCCCCACUUCUCCCCAGCAAAGGGACACCUAGAAAUGAUGACCCCAGCUGUGGCCAUGCCUCCUCAGCACUGGCUGAGGCUGGAGGGCAGUGUUGUAAGGAAAUGUUACAUUAGGUGGAUCCUUCAUAAUUUUCGUGAAUCAUGUGAAGAGGGUAUAUCUUUUCCAAUAAAGAGGGACCAAUGCAGUGUUUAAUCUGGUGACUGCUACCUUUGUCUCUGAGCUGGACCAGCAUCCCUUUGCUCCCAAGAGUCACAGUAGCUUCUUGAGCAGUACCAGGGCCUUCCAUUCUGAUAGUCCUGUGUGGUUAGCCAGAACCUCUCCCAGAUGUGUCAGGUCUCAUGCAAUGAACCUACACCUACUUUCACAGCAUCCAAUGACUUGUAGUCAACUCGCUUAUUUCCCCCUCUGCUUCUCCUUUGUAAAAUGGGAGGAUGUUGCCUUUGGAGGGCUGUGGACUGGAAGUCUUGAAUAUCUUCCCCAAACACUGAUGAAAUUCUAUUCACAUCCUACCCAGUGGUUCCCAAGUCCCUUUAUCCUGGGGAAGGCCAUGGUUCUCUCUGUGAUCACGCAGGAUGCUCCACACCUUGGCCCCUGAAGUUGCCAAAUGGUUAUCACACCUGAGACUCCAAGAGGGAGCUGCCCCAAGUGAGGGCUGGACCCAGUCUGGUGAGCGUCAGGCAGGGAGGAGGCUUCCUAUUUAUUUGCCAAACCCAGAUGAUACAGGGCCAAGGACCAUUCAAGAAACGAAGGAGCUCAGGGCAGAUGGGUGGUUUGCUUUUGAGAAGAACCUGCCCCGUUGCUCAUUUCCUCCAUCCCUCUGUCACCACGAAGCUGCUCACUAUCUCUGCUUUAGGUAUCAUCCAACCAUCAUCCUCCCCACAUAGCUCUGGUGCCAGGAAAGUGGCCUUCCCCAGCUCGCUAGGGCAUCCCCCUUCUCUGUCUGUCUGUGUGCCACUGGAUUGUGGCCCUAACUCGACUUAUCCCCUCCCCAUCCCAUCCCCCCACUGCUGCACAAACUAUAUCUCACCUAAGAUGCUUGCUUCCUUCAUAUUUUUUUCAGUAAGGCCCAAGACUCUUUAUAGAGGUGGCCAAGGAGGUGGUUACUUGUAAGUAAGGAGAACUCUCGAUAUUUGCCUUUUCAAGGCCUUUUUGUUUCUGUUAUUUGAUUUUAUCCUCUGGCCGUUCAACAAAGGGCACUGAUCUUGUCACCAUUUGACGCAUGGGGGGUGGAAGAACAAAAAGGGUUUUGUGGUUUGUCUGAGGAGUAUAGACCAUUUGGAAUGCACCUGGAUUCACUCAUGCCACAUGCAGCCCAACUCUCAACCACAGGGAUUUGUUUAUGUGUGAAGAUGAUUUCUCCAGCUGCUGAAACCGCCAGAGGCAUGGAAUCAGGAUUGUUAAGUAGUUCCACAAGGUGUCUUGCAAAGGUAGGUCAUUCAAAAAAUUGUCAGAGAUCCAUUUAUUCCAUUCAUUUAGUUCUUAAAUAGAUACUGGGCACUCGCCAUGCAGAUCAGAUGGGGAGCAAACAUGGGCAGUCUCUGUUCUGCAGAGCUUACAGUCCGUCUCCUGGGGGAGACUGAGUUCAUCAAAUUGUAACCAAAUAAAUGUAAAAUAAUAACAGCAACAAGUACGACAAAGGAUAUACCCUGGAGGACUACAUAAUCGGGGAUUUGUUCCAACGUGAAGGGGAGGAAUGCUUUCCUGAGGCAGGGAUGGUCAGGACCAAACAUGAAUAGGACCAAACCAGGCAAGGGAGCGUCAUGUGCAAAGGCCCUGUGGUGAGAUGAAGAACAUGUGUUUGAGGAACAAGGUGAAGGCUACUGAGGCUGGAGCCCAGAAACAUGGGAAAGAGCAGCAUGAAAUGCAGCUGAAGAGGUGGGUGAGGGGUCUUCCUGGAGCUUCCUAUGCCAUAACAGGUCGAACAUCUGCUAUUUCUUUGUGCCACACGUGACAUAAUUUGCCAAGGAAUUUGUUCAAGAUAAUACAGGCCAGUUACAACUCUCUCUUUGCUCUUUUAUACCUCACUUCUCAGUAGUUAAAAUUCAAAUCCCUUCUCCAUUUAUGUAAAAUAUUUAUCACUGGAAAGGAGGGAGAGGCUACAUGUUCUUUUUCUUUGUUUGCAUUGGUAACUUCAGGCAGAAAGCAUGAGUUUCAAGGCCACCCAAAUCCCCCUGCUGGAGUCUCCAAUAGACCAUCUGAGGGUCUGGAUCAAGCCUAUUGAAAGGUGCACACUGGAUGUUUAAGUUUCAAGUGCGUGAAACCAGACAUUGAAACUGUUCAUUAAAAACUCCUCUGUUCAAGCAGACGAAGAAUCAUUUCAGAAGCUCUAUAAUGAAUGUACCAGUGGGUGCAGGUUAUCUUGUCAAACACAAUAAUCAUGAGUCAGUGUGAACGGAUGCUGCUUGUAUUUGAUUUUGUCUUUCACUGGAGCUUGCUGAUGGCUGUUUAUGACCCUCCACCUCCCCCAGUGGGUGGGAGGACCUGGUCUUUUGCUUUGGGGUCCCGUCUGGCCAGGGCUGAGGUAGGGAUGAUGUGGAAAUGUGAGAAGCAUCCAGUCAGGGCAUAAGAUGGAGAGAGUGAAAUGAAAUUAACCACAUGCGGGCACAUUCACAUGACCCAUGCACAGUGACAGCUGGGGUGUUGGUGGAGGUUGUAGAGGGGUUUCCACAGCUGGAGAGGGCCAGUAACUGCUCAACUCCAGAGCUAUUAAGUGGCAAAACCAGGGUUCUAAGUGGAUCUUUUGAACCCACAUUGAAAACUUGCUCCUCAGUUCCAUAGCUGGUGUUCCCACAUUGACUGUCCAGCUACAGAGUAUAGUUUAACAGCCGUCUCCUCAGUGCUGUGUUAGUCACCAAAAACACGAGGCAGUGGUUCUGGGAAAAGAUGUGCUUUCAACCCGGAAGGGCAGACAAACACAUAUUUGGUUGGAAGCAAAGCUCUGUAAGCAUAUCUUGAAGAGUCAACAGGAUCAGAGCGUUUCUCCUGUUUGGUGUAGCCCAAUGAGAAUGCCCAGCAUCCCCAUUUCCCUAUUGAAGGAAGAUCCAAGGUCCAUGUAUUGAUUUCACUAGCCUGUGGGGGCCCAAUACAAAGUUCCUGCAAGGGAGUAGCAGGAACAACAGCAACAACACUUCUCAUCAUUAAUUCACCAUCUUUCCCCAAAAGGUUGGAGUUUUAACUCCAAAAAACCUGGAAAGGACAUUGUCUUUGAAUGAGGAAUAAUUUUUUGCUUGAAACAUAUUUAGCUUCAUGAAAAUGUAUUUCCUCCAAUUGGACACAGACCAGUGAAAACCAAAACAGAUACCUGGCCACACUGUUUACUGGCUGGCCUGGGGAAGCUGCUAGUAUAGCAAAGGGAUGACUGUACUUGAUUUGACAGAAACCUUUGAGUUAAACCAACUGGGGGACUGGUUUAUUAUGUUUAGAGAUUCACUUCUUCACCCAUCUUUUCAAGGUGAUCAGUCACAGGGACCUGAGUUUCCUUAAUUUCAGGAUGGAGAAGAGACAGACUUGUCUGGCUGGAGAUUCUAAAACCCUGGCCUUGACAAUUUUCUCAGGCUGCCUCUGGGGAGGGACCCAAAUGGACAUGCGCUACUGUGGCUGGGGUGGGAAGAGCAAGCCCCAUGUUAGCAUCUUUCACAGUCAGCUUAUUUGGAAUAAAUGGAAGAAAUCCUUUGCAAAGGUAAGACUCUGAGGCCUCAAGAGUCAAAAAAGCAACAUGUUAAUUAGCCUUUUCUCCAGGAUCCAGCCUGAUGGUGACGACCCUCUAAACUUCAUUAUUUCCAUUUAGGAAAUCCUUAAGGGAAGCCUCUUUAGACAGAUGAUCUGGACAGAUGAUUGUGCAAUGGGCCUCCUACUGCCUUCUCUAUAAUACCCUUCAUUUCCUUCAUAUAUUAAAAAAUGAUAAAGAAAAACCUUUAAGUCAUUCCUAUCAUCCCAGCAAUAUUAAAUCUUAAAUUUCCCCCUCGUGCCUUUUGGAGUUUAAUAGUUGCGUAAUAUUCCAUUGUCAACAUCCCGUAAUUUUUUCAGCCAUCCCCAAUUACUGAACAUUAGGCUCCUUCUGGAAUUUUGUGUGCGUGCAUGUGAUUAGAUUUGAUCAUUAAGAUAGUGCUGCCGUUUGUGUGGCUUUUUGCUUCUGUCAGAUAAUUUCUUUGGUAUACAUUCCUGGGAGAAGGAUUACUGGGUCAGAGUAAGCGUAUCUUUAUGAUUCUUGUUACACACUGCCUUAUUUCUUUCAGGAAGAAUUAUGCUGAUUUAACUCAGUGCCUAUAGCAUCUGAGUCUAUCAGUUUCUUUGCAGCCUGACCAGCAUUAGGGUAUUAUUUAGUUAGAUGAAAAUACCACCUCUUCAGAGUUGCUUUCAUUUACAUUUUUUAUUACUAGCAGGAAUGAACACUUUCCCACAUGUUCGCUUAUCAAGUACUGCCUAUUAAUGACGUUUUAGGGCCACAUGUGGGUGCAGGAAAUAUGGAUGGGAAACUUCACUCAUAGUUGGAGGGCAGAUGGCAGCUGUGGAUGAGUCUGUAUAAAAUAAAAGUGUAAUAAAACUUGAAAUGAUUUCUGUGACAUGGAGGGGCUACUUAUCACAUGACCGCCUUUCCAGUUUUAAAAAAAAUAGAUGGGAGUUCCUGUUGUGGCUCAGCGGGAACAAACCCAACUAGGAACCAUGAGGUUGCAGGUUCAAUCCCUGGCCUUGCUCAGUGGUUUAAGGAUCCAGUGUUGCCCCGAGCUGUGGUGUAAGUUGCAGACGUGGCUCAGAUCUGGCAUUGCUGUGGCUGUGGUGUAAGCUGGAACUACAGUUCUGAUUAAACUCCUAGCCUGGGAACUUCCAUAUACCUCUGGUGCAGCCCUAAAAAGAC
This 7669-nucleotide long non-coding RNA is filed under the name Sus scrofa (pig). RNAcentral's name for it is "lncRNA (ENSSSCG00040038231.1)". The record is from RNAcentral. Lineage: Eukaryota; Metazoa; Chordata; Mammalia; Artiodactyla; Suidae.